CCACUCACUGACGACGACAUGGUGUCGUACAUCCUUGCCGGGCUUGACUUCGAAUACAUGUCGUUUGUCUCCUCGGUCUGCGCAAGGAUGGUCCCCAUCAAGCUAAACGAGCUCUACUCCCAGCUGAUCAGCUUCGAGA
RNAcentral lists this small nucleolar RNA (139 nucleotides) under Triticum aestivum (bread wheat). RNAcentral's name for it is "Small nucleolar RNA Z247". It matches the Rfam family "Small nucleolar RNA Z247". Rfam says of the family: Z247 is a member of the C/D class of snoRNA which contain the C (UGAUGA) and D (CUGA) box motifs. Most of the members of the box C/D family function in directing site-specific 2'-O-methylation of substrate RNAs. The record is from Rfam by way of RNAcentral. Lineage: Eukaryota; Viridiplantae; Streptophyta; Magnoliopsida; Poales; Poaceae.